UAAACAGAAACCUACAGCCAGCUCAGCCACUUCUCCCCCAGUGGAGUGAGUCAUCAGCCCUUGGAUCUAAAGUUAGGUUCACGUCAGAGCUUACUCUCUCUCUCUCUCUCUCAUUUUAUUUUUCUCUUUCUAUUUUGAAGGAUAUGGGAAAAGCUGGGCACUGUCUCCUGGAAGCAGCAAACACAAACCCACAACAGCAACAGAUGCAGGACCUGAUGAUGCCCUAUCUGGGAGCACUGUGGCAAAUAUUGCUUUCUGUCUGACUGCUCCUCUUCCUUGCUGCACGCCCAGGGAUGAGCUUGGACAACAUGCAGCCAUGGCUAACUUGGGCACACAGGGGACCCAGCUCCAAGGGGUUUUGUGCGCUCUGCAGAUGAGCUGGAGGAUGGAAUGGGCUGUGCAGCCAUCCCUGUGGCCACAGCAACAGGAUUCCCUGUGUUUGGCUCCCAUGGUCCAUGCAGGGGAGCAGGAUCUGCAGGAAGGGCUGGGGCUGGCUCAGCCUGGCAGGAGGUCACUUCCAAGAAAGCCCAUCGGUGCCACUCAGGGCAAAUGACAAAACUCUCUGGAAGAGCACUGGGGGUGGCAGAUGGAGCCGUGUGAGCUGCAGGACAAGGAGACCAUCUUCAGUCCCUUCCCUUGUGGAUGGUGGAGAGGAGGGCCUUGCUCAGGCAGGACAACAGCUUCCCAGCCCAGUUGCUGCUCUGGAGGGAUGCCUGAGCUGUGUGUACCAGGAAGCCCAUGGAAAUCCUCCAGAAUGCAUGGAUGGGGAGGGCUGUGGGGAUGAGGGGGCUCUGCUCUGGAGCAUGAACUGCCCUGGGCUUGCUCUUUUCACCAACUCCAAAUCUGUGAUGUGUUGAAUGGCACAUCUCCAUUUCCCCACCCAGCCCCUUUCCCUCUCCCUUCCUUCCAGGUUUGUAACAUGUUUUUGUCCAUUUGAAGGGUUUGUCUGAGUGAGAGUUCAAAUGUCUCCUUAUGCCUGUGCCAUGGAUGUGCUGGAAGGCAAACAGAUAUGAUCCUAGGAUGAAGGCAUGGGAGAUGACCCACGGGUUGUCCUGAGUGUGUGUUUAUGUGCCUCUGUCCUGCUGUGCCCCUCUGCAUGCACUCUUCACCUCCCUGGAACAUUUUGUUUCUUUUGCCUCUCCUUACUGCCCUGUUUCUCCACCCUGCCUCACCCUCUCCCUCUCUCUCCUGCCCUCCUCAUUCUCUUUUUCUCAUUUGAUAUUCAUGCAUGAAUAAAUUCAAUUGCAUUUUUCCCUGUUCCCCCUGA
Molecule: long non-coding RNA, 1267 nt
Organism: Zonotrichia albicollis (white-throated sparrow)
Lineage: Eukaryota; Metazoa; Chordata; Aves; Passeriformes; Passerellidae
Source: Ensembl